This 257-nucleotide long non-coding RNA is filed under the name Lathyrus oleraceus (garden pea). Its description in RNAcentral is "Pisum sativum (pea) long non-coding RNA (PSAT_LNC033725)". Lineage: Eukaryota; Viridiplantae; Streptophyta; Magnoliopsida; Fabales; Fabaceae. The record is from RNAcentral.
AAAAAUAUUAAAUGGAAUCACAAAAAUAAUUAAAAAUCAGAUUAUGAAACUAGAUUUUUCAAGAAAAUUUUUAGUGUGGUCUCAUAUUUUUGUGAUUCCAAAUAAAAUAGUUAUGAAUUUUUGAAAUAAAAAGGAAUAAAAGAAAAUAAAACAGAAAUUAGAAAAAGGAAAAAAACCAGGAGCGCUAGAUCCAUUUCAUUAAAUGACGUGGACACAUCAGACGGUCCAGAAGCGCGCUCCCACCAUGGUAUCGAGUC